UAGGGAAUCUUCGGCAAUGGACGAAAGUCUGACCGAGCAACGCCGCGUGAGUGAAGAAGGUUUUCGGAUCGUAAAACUCUGUUGUUAGAGAAGAACAAGGACGUUAGUAACUGAACGUCCCCUGACGGUAUCUAACCAGAAAGCCACGGCUAACUACGUGCCAGCAGCCGCGGUAAUACGUAGGUGGCAAGCGUUGUCCGGAUUUAUUGGGCGUAAAGCGAGCGCAGGCGGUUUCUUAAGUCUGAUGUGAAAGCCCCCGGCUCAACCGGGGAGGGUCAUUGGAAACUGGUAGACUUGAGUGCAGAAGAGGAGAGUGUAAUUCCAUGUGUAGCGGUGAAAUGCGUAGAUAUAUGGAGGAACACCAGUGGCGAAGGCGGCUCUCUGGUCUGUAACUGACGCUGAGGCUCGAAAGCGUGGGGAGCAAACAGG
RNAcentral lists this ribosomal RNA (429 nucleotides) under Gemmatimonadota bacterium. RNAcentral's name for it is "Gemmatimonadetes bacterium partial 16S ribosomal RNA". It matches the Rfam family "Bacterial small subunit ribosomal RNA", at positions 355 to 776 of the family's 1533-position model. The record is from RNAcentral. Lineage: Bacteria; Pseudomonadati; Gemmatimonadota.